RNAcentral lists this long non-coding RNA (2078 nucleotides) under Canis lupus familiaris (dog). RNAcentral's name for it is "lncRNA (ENSCAFG00805002291.1, ENSCAFG00845008115.1)". The record is from RNAcentral. Lineage: Eukaryota; Metazoa; Chordata; Mammalia; Carnivora; Canidae.
UCCAGGAGGGGUUACAUCCGCCCUGUAGAAGGAGCGAAUUUUUUGUAUUUCAUUUGCCCAGGGAAGUAGUUUUUUCACAGUCUGCACCAAGGCACUCUCUGUACCAGCAGUAGCACUGACCACUGCAGGAUCCAAGCUUUGCUGGAUAUUUUGAGGUCACUGCUAUCACUUUGGGCCUCCCCUGAUGUCCAGCAUCAGUUGAUCUGACAAAUACGAAAUACCAUGGAUCCUACAUAUCACCUAAAAUGAAUCUGACCACAGUCUGCUCUGAGACCAUGAUGCAUUGCAGGUUAUUUUCAGGAACCUCUGUUUACUAUGUGAGGAAACACGAGGUGUCUGGAGUCUGUAAUCAGAGGCUGAAAAAGAUGUCUCCAGACCCUCAGCUCAAAAUGGCAUUUUUAAUUUUGAUUUCAUCACCAAAGAAUACUUACCAUGCCACUUGAACCUCAUGGUUUACCGACUGAAGUUGGUUGUUCAUAAAUCUAGUUCGUCCGUUCAAGUUCCCUGGGUACCAGCUGAUCUGAUCCAAUAGCCCCUUAUUGUAACUCAUCUGUUGAGGUCUUCCUCAUCAACCACAAAAGAAAAGUUAGUGGAAGAUUUGAAAGAAAGAUUAUCUCAGAGUUUGGAAAGAGGGAAAUCAUUUAAUAUCUCAAUGAGCUUAAAUGACCGGGUCUUUUUGAAAUCAGCAUAUAACACAACGACAAUGAUAAAUCUUUUUUUCUAAAAAUGCCUUUUCGGCACAAAGUGAGCGACCACUUCACGAACAAUUGGGCACCCAAAUAAUUGGAAAUAUUUCAGAAGAGCAAAUGAAGCAAAAGAGAUCAUAGAAAGCUGGAAAUAUAUGGAUGCAAUUUUGAGCCUAAAUGAACAUGCAGCGCCAUAUACAAAAUAAUCAGUGAGAUGUGAAAACGAAUGUGGAUCCCUUUGAUUUGAAUCAACAGGGUGUGAAGGGCUCUUAUUAUUAAAGGCAAACCUUGAUGCCACCUCGCCCUUGUCCAGAUCCAGACAUCCAAGGUCCUGGCUCUGGAGAGGCACAAACCCAGCACUGAAGUGCCUGCCAGCAAGAAGAUGGAAUGCAAUCCUGCAACCAGUACUCUUUGGCUGACUCUAACUCAGAAGCCUUCCUCACUGUCAAUCUUCUGAAAAAUUUUCCUCCCCGUUAGCAAUUUUAGAAGUUCCUUACCAAUACAGGGCCUCAAAUGCAGUGAAGACAGGUAGCCUAUACUGUCAACCUAGGUAUAGGGAAACGGAUACGCUAUAGCACAAAGAGCUGCCACAGAGCUAUUCCUUCUAGAAAACUAACCAAGGGGGGAAGGGAGUAGUGUUCCUCCUAUCCCAAAAGCAAAAGAAUCAAGGAUCAUUUCAGAGCUUGGAGGAGCCCUAAAAAUCUUCUCCAGGGAUUUCCAAACUGUUCAGCCAAGUCUCAGGAUAUUGAGAGAGGCUUCAGAUAAAGAAAAACAGGGCUAGGGAAUCCCUGGGUGGCUCAGUGGUUUGGCAUCUGCCUUUGGCCCAGGGUUUGAUCCUGGAGUCCUAGGAUCGAGUCCCACAUCAGGCUCCAUGCACCGGGAGCCUGAUGUGGGAUUCAAUCCUGGGUCUCCAGGAUCGCGCCCUGGGCCAAAGGCAGGCGCCAAACCGCUGCGACACCCAGGGAUCCCAGAGGGCAGAUUUAAAUUAGAAAGAGGACUCCCCGAAGUUUUCCAAGUGGGAACAAUAAAAGAGCAUUUUGUCUUGAGGACUAGAAAGAAGAGAGGAAGGAGCAUCAAAGUGAACUGACUCAGUAAUUAAGGAUAAUCAUGUGAGAAUCUUGGGCACCUGGAACCCUCCAGAACUGAAGGAGGGAGACGUGGAUACCACGAAUGGGGGUGAGGAAGAGAAGGGGGCACUUGCCCCCACCAGAGCGGUGACAGAACAGGAAAGACUCACUUGGGAAGCUUCCUCUGAGGCAAAGUAGAGGUGGACACAUCACCCCUUUACUUUACCAGUAAAGCCAAUUAACAGGGGAACACGCCAGAGAAUCCUGGACUUUAGAUAUGGUUGAAUGAGCCUGGGAUAGGAGGGAGAUGUUUAGAAAAAAAAAA